UUCUCAGUGGUCCAGUGGUUAGGACUCUGUGCUUCCGCUGCAGGGGCCAUGGGUUCAAUCCCUGUCAGGUAAC
RNAcentral lists this transfer RNA (73 nucleotides) under Bos taurus (domestic cattle). It matches the Rfam family "tRNA". Rfam says of the family: Transfer RNA (tRNA) molecules are approximately 80 nucleotides in length. Lineage: Eukaryota; Metazoa; Chordata; Mammalia; Artiodactyla; Bovidae. RNAcentral also lists the same sequence under 5 other names. The record is from Rfam by way of RNAcentral.